Molecule: non-coding RNA, 324 nt
Organism: Podarcis muralis (Common wall lizard)
Lineage: Eukaryota; Metazoa; Chordata; Lepidosauria; Squamata; Lacertidae
Source: RefSeq, a predicted model, not a curated record
CAGUUCCUAUUUACAACUUUACCUCCGUCUGUGACGCUUUUCUGCCUCCUGCUGGCUACUUCCCGGGUCGAAGAUGCAAGCCGGUGAUUUCUAAGAAACCACCCGGGAUGGGCAAACGCCACACCCAUUCAUCCCACUCGAGGGGGAUCGGAGCCACCUGUGCAAAGAGACAGGCACAAAACAGUCCGCUUCCACCACUGAAAUGAUCCGGGAAGACUUUGCAGCAUGGAAAAAGCCACGGAUCAGGGAUCUCAGUCACCCAGGAAAAAAUCUCCAGGCUGUUGACAACCCAUUAAGGAAUCAAAUCCAACGGUCCAGAAUAAA